This 468-nucleotide ribosomal RNA is filed under the name uncultured bacterium. RNAcentral describes it as "partial 16S ribosomal RNA". It matches the Rfam family "Bacterial small subunit ribosomal RNA", at positions 28 to 507 of the family's 1533-position model. The record is from RNAcentral.
GACGAACGCUGGCGGCGUGCUUAACACAUGCAAGUCGAACGGAAAGGCCCUGCUUUUGUGGGGUGCUCGAGUGGCGAACGGGUGAGUAACACGUGAGUAACCUGCCCUUGACUUUGGGAUAACUUCAGGAAACUGGGGCUAAUACCGGAUAGGAGCUCCUGCUGCAUGGUGGGGGUUGGAAAGUUUCGGCGGUUGGGGAUGGACUCGCGGCUUAUCAGCUUGUUGGUGGGGUAGUGGCUUACCAAGGCUUUGACGGGUAGCCGGCCUGAGAGGGUGACCGGCCACAUUGGGACUGAGAUACGGCCCAGACCCCUACGGGAGGCAGCAGUGGGGAAUAUUGCACAAUGGGCGGAAGCCUGAUGCAGCAACGCCGCGUGCGGGAUGACGGCCUUCGGGUUGUAACCCGCUUUCGCCUGUGACGAAGCGUGAGUGACGGUAAUGGGUAAAGAAGCACCGGCUAACUACGUG